AUAUAUAUAUAUAUGUGUGUGUGUGUGUGUAGAGAGUAUUGGGAAGUACUACGUAAUGUGUUAGAAAAGUGUCUCAAAGUGAUGUCUUUUAAGGCUAGUUGGGCUGCAAUUGCAAUUGUAAAAAUAUAUAUUGCAUUACUUUAUAUUGAAUAACUGACUGGAUUUACUUUUUGGAUUAAAAUACCUAAUUUUCACUGAUGCAUAAACUGCCUAGAAAAAGUCAAGCUACUAGUCAUUAAUUUUGAAGUUUUUAUUUAAAUAUGUUUGCCAGCAACGUGAGAGAUAAUCAUUUUUAUUCUAAUUGAUACAUGAAAACCUUCAAUUAAUCUGAUCCACUUUUAUGAACUGAGUGUCAUUUGCAGCUAAUAAAUGCCUUUAAUUGAACUCACUAAUUAAAGUUGCGUCCUGUGGAACAAGAUCUCUGCUGCUAAUGACUAAGCCUCAAGUAGCUCAAUUAAAUCAUAUCAAUUACAGCAGCGUUAGUCUUUGGCAUUUAUCUACGUCUUCUGGAUAGGGAUUCUUUAAUGUUUGUUUCUUUACUUGUACGUGUAUAUAAAUCAGCUUGAAAGCUUUUACUUUUAAGAGGUUCCUCUGUCGGCGUGUGAACCCGCGCAUGCCGUCCCAAAAAAGCUCAGCUGACUCAGGCCGGCCCAUGUGGUAACGGCCACGGUCGUCUGCUUGUGGGUACCUCAGUUCAGAACUCUUGGUGGAACUUGUGAACCCCCCCCAACACUUACCCCCACAAACCAUUCAGACAGCCUUCAGAUCAGUGCUGCAGACACGCCACAGGGGCCACUCACCAACAGAGGAGUCUCUGCUUCUCUAAUUAAUGAACAGCAAAACUUCAAAGCCGUGGGCUAAGUCGUGGAGCCGCCCACACUGAAGAGACGCAUUUCAUCACUGAAUCACUUCACGUAGUUGGAUCAGAGCAGCGUGGGAGUAAAUAACCACAGGACAAGAUCUAAUAAGAAUGCGCCGAGCUAGGCAUCCUAUUGAUAAUUAAACAUAACACCAAAAAGGAUUGAAAUUUUUACUCAUGAUUAUUUUUACACUUAUCCUUUCAUGUAGAUGUUUUAUGAGUAUGUGUUUUUUGCAAAUAGUCAACAUUCUCUUCAAGUAAAAAUCAGUUACUACAAAUAUUUACUGUUGUAACGAGGUCAAGAACAAACCUUUUACAUUUCAUAAAUUAUGCUGCGACCCUUGACUUGGGCUAAACAAAACAGUUAUUUGUUACUGUUAACAGAACUGAUUUACCUCUUGGUGUUUCCAUCAUGGCUGCACUGAGAAUGCAUGAAAAAGUUCCACUCUUCCUCCUUUCGAGCUGUUCAUCUCCCUUUGUGUUCAAGGCUGUUUCUCUGACCCACCCCUCGCGCUCUGUUGCAUUAGUUUGUAUUUGCCCAAUUUCAGAGGAAACACAUUUUUCUGUUCCUUUCAGAAUACGUCCUCCACCUGAGCAUAUUUUUAUUCUUUCAUGACACUGCUGAGUUUCACCGCAAGCUUUUAGUUGCUAGUUAUUGCGCAAUGCGUUAAAUGCUUUCCACUCCGUGUGCGGUUUAGAAUCAAAUUGUGGUGCAGGGAAAGUCUUGAAAGCCAAUGCAUUCGAAUAGAUCGUAUUCAUUUUGUUAUAUCACAGGCACUGCUGCGAUGGACGCAUAUUGAUCUGAUUUAAUUCAGCGGUAUUAUCAUUUGAACUAAAGUAACAUAUUUAAAAUCCCUGAAUCUCCACAUUUGCUACCCAUCCCACCAUAUUAUUUAUAAUAACCCACCCUGAGGCAGCAGCCAGCACUACAUCCAAAGAAUGCCAUGGGAGCUUGCUAAUGGCACCAACAUUAAAAACAUCCAGCAUCUGGCCUCCCGUGCAUGAACACAUAUGUCUGGGCUCCACUUUUAACCAGCAGCGCCGCGGGCCCUUUCACUGGCAAUGAAUACGUGAGAGGCGCUGAUAGAAACAAUGUUCGGGAUAAUUCACCACACUUCUCUUUUGUUUGGGCCUAUGAUGAGUCGGGCCUUUUUACAUGAUGAUCUCUCCAGGGAACAGAAGACCUAUUU
This is a long non-coding RNA of Gasterosteus aculeatus aculeatus (three-spined stickleback), 2049 nucleotides long. The record is from Ensembl. NCBI's taxonomy places the organism in Eukaryota, Metazoa, Chordata, Actinopteri, Perciformes, Gasterosteidae.